RNAcentral lists this ribosomal RNA (769 nucleotides) under Bacillus amyloliquefaciens. Its description in RNAcentral is "bacterial SSU rRNA". It matches the Rfam family "Bacterial small subunit ribosomal RNA", at positions 81 to 835 of the family's 1533-position model. Lineage: Bacteria; Bacillati; Bacillota; Bacilli; Caryophanales; Bacillaceae. The record is from RNAcentral.
GCUCCCUGAUGUUAGCGGCGGACGGGUGAGUAACACGUGGGUAACCUGCCUGUAAGACUGGGAUAACUCCGGGAAACCGGGGCUAAUACCGGAUGGUUGUUUGAACCGCAUGGUUCAGACAUAAAAGGUGGCUUCGGCUACCACUUACAGAUGGACCCGCGGCGCAUUAGCUAGUUGGUGAGGUAACGGCUCACCAAGGCGACGAUGCGUAGCCGACCUGAGAGGGUGAUCGGCCACACUGGGACUGAGACACGGCCCAGACUCCUACGGGAGGCAGCAGUAGGGAAUCUUCCGCAAUGGACGAAAGUCUGACGGAGCAACGCCGCGUGAGUGAUGAAGGUUUUCGGAUCGUAAAGCUCUGUUGUUAGGGAAGAACAAGUGCCGUUCAAAUAGGGCGGCACCUUGACGGUACCUAACCAGAAAGCCACGGCUAACUACGUGCCAGCAGCCGCGGUAAUACGUAGGUGGCAAGCGUUGUCCGGAAUUAUUGGGCGUAAAGGGCUCGCAGGCGGUUUCUUAAGUCUGAUGUGAAAGCCCCCGGCUCAACCGGGGAGGGUCAUUGGAAACUGGGGAACUUGAGUGCAGAAGAGGAGAGUGGAAUUCCACGUGUAGCGGUGAAAUGCGUAGAGAUGUGGAGGAACACCAGUGGCGAAGGCGACUCUCUGGUCUGUAACUGACGCUGAGGAGCGAAAGCGUGGGGAGCGAACAGGAUUAGAUACCCUGGUAGUCCACGCCGUAAACGAUGAGUGCUAAGUGUUAGGGGGUUUCC